This 136-nucleotide small RNA is filed under the name Clostridium pasteurianum. RNAcentral describes it as "c-di-AMP sequence". The stretch from base 17 to 134 matches the Rfam family "c-di-AMP riboswitch aptamer (ydaO/yuaA leader)". From Rfam's summary of the family: This family represents a conserved RNA structure found upstream of the ydaO and yuaA genes in Bacillus subtilis and related genes in other bacteria. The ydaO/yuaA element is thought to act as a genetic "off" switch for the ydaO and yuaA genes in its native state. It is believed that the element may be triggered during osmotic shock leading to activation of ydaO, a predicted amino acid transporter gene, and members of the yuaA-yubG operon which code for KtrA and KtrB K+ transporters. The record is from RNAcentral. Lineage: Bacteria; Bacillati; Bacillota; Clostridia; Eubacteriales; Clostridiaceae.
UUUUUUUUUAACUGGGAAUAAUACCUUUAGCCUAAGUCAUACGGGGGAACCAUAUUUUGGGGUGAAUCGCUUUUUGCGUAGGUUUUGCCUUUACCAAACCCGUCAGCUAACCUCGUAUAAUAAAAGGAGGAAAGAA